This 787-nucleotide ribosomal RNA is filed under the name uncultured Deinococci bacterium. RNAcentral describes it as "bacterial SSU rRNA". It matches the Rfam family "Bacterial small subunit ribosomal RNA", at positions 573 to 1340 of the family's 1533-position model. Lineage: Bacteria; Thermotogati; Deinococcota; Deinococci. The record is from RNAcentral.
AGGCGGUUCGGCAAGUCGUCCGUGAAAGCCCGGGGCUCAACCCCGGGAGGCCGGGCGAGACUGCCGGGCUAGAGGACGGCAGAGGAGGGUGGAGCGGCCGGAGUAGCGGUGAAAUGCGUAGAUACCGGCCGAAAUCCCGAUGGCGAAGGCAACCCUCUGGGCCGUUCCUGACGCUGAGGCGCGAAAGCGUGGGGAGCGAACCGGAUUAGAUACCCGGGUAGUCCACGCCCUAAACGAUGCGGGCUAGGUGUCGGGGGUAUUCCCUCGGUGCCGCAGCUAACGCGUUAAGCCCGCCGCCUGGGCAGUACGGCCGCAAGGCUGAAACUCAAGGGAAUUGACGGGGUCCCACACAAGCGGUGGAGCAUGUGGUUUAAUUCGAUGCUAAACGAAGAACCUUACCCAGGCUUGACAUGCAGGUGGUACCGACCCGAAAGGGAAGGGACCCCGGGCCGAAAGGCGCCGGGGAGCCUGCACAGGUGCUGCAUGGCUGUCGUCAGCUCGUGCCGUGGGGUGUUGGGUUAAGUCCCGGAACGAGCGCAACCCCUGCCGCCAGUUGCCAGCGGGCCCAAAUGGGCGCCGGGGACUCUGGCGGGACUGCCGGCGAAUAGCCGGAGGAAGGAGGGGAUGACGUCAAGUCCUCAUGGCCCUUAUGCCCGGGGCUACACACAUGCUACAGUGCCCGGUACAAUGGGACGCGAAGGGGCGACCCGGAGCAAAUCCCAUCAAAGCCGGGCAUGGUGCGGAUUGCAGGCUGCAACCCGCCUGCAUGAAGAGGGAAUCGCUAGUA